RNAcentral lists this long non-coding RNA (31778 nucleotides) under Lathyrus oleraceus (garden pea). RNAcentral's name for it is "Pisum sativum (pea) long non-coding RNA (PSAT_LNC004211)". Lineage: Eukaryota; Viridiplantae; Streptophyta; Magnoliopsida; Fabales; Fabaceae. The record is from RNAcentral.
UUUUUUUGUUUGUUAAGUUUUUAACUAUUGAAUGUGUUGUUUAUUGCCAAUCAUGUGCACCGCCAGAUCUACAAAUCUAGUUUUGAAAAUUUGAAAAAAAUAAAAAUACAAAAUAUACAUGAUUGCCUUUGAUUUGUUAAAAAAAAAUUGUAGGGGCAAAAUAGAUAGUUAGAGAGUAGAAGCACAAAAAUCUGAAUUUUAUUUGUUAAGAUAAUUUAACUAAUGACUUUGCGGAAAUAUGAGAUAAGAGUGCAGAUUCGAAAUAUCAUAUUCUACUUAUUUAUUUUUAAAUGGUAAAUUUUAGUCAUUAAAUUAUUUUUCAAAAUAAUACUAUUUUUUUUAAAUUACUUAAAAACAUUUCAUCUUUCUAUCUGCAUGUCUAUCUUUCCAUUAAAAAAUUUCUUGUUGUCAUUUUUUUAAAAAUUUUAAAUGUGUCGUUAAUGUUAUGGAGCUUGGAUGGAAGAGACAAAAGGAAUUGGCGAGGAAUAAUUUUGGAAUUUGCUAUCAAUCAUUAAUAAGUCAUUAGUGUCAAUCAAAGAAAAGAAAGAGAAAGAACUCAAUGUGUGACUAUAUGAUUUGUGCAAUUAUAUUCUUUAUCUAGACCAACUAUAUAUCUUUAAAAUGGAAAAGACACUCUAUUUGUGGCUAUCACUUUCUUUUAAUUUAUGAAACUAAAUUUUGGAGAAGGUCGAACUUAGGCGCUUGCCACCUAUGCCACAACAAUUUUGUUAAUAAAAUUUGUCAAACAUAAAUAUACGUUAUGUUCUUUUUGGAACAAUAGAAUGUCGAAACUUAAUGAAAAGAUAUUACAUAGAAAUCAAUUUAGAAGAAUAGACUCUAAUACAAUCAACUAAUAAAAAGGAGAGAUUUUAACAAAAACUUGCUUAUAAAACAUCAAAAUAGGAUUUAGAUCACAUUCCAUGUUGAGAAGUGUAUAUGUGAAAGAAUUUGACUCACGGUAAAUAUGAAAAAUCCACACCCUCCAAUCUAGCUUGACAAAUUAUUAAUUUUGUUGUGCCAACCACAUUCUAAUUAUACUAUCCUGUCCAUGAUGCAAAAUAUUUUGAACAACUUCUUUGGAAUCUAUAUAUAGCGCAAUAGCUCGAACUCAAACUCUUUUGUUAAUCUUAGUCCUUCUAGCACAUCCAAAAGUUCAACAAUAUAUAUGCACUACAAGAAUCUAAAUAUCUUACAAAACCUUCAAGUCACUCACCCGUACAACCUCUUAAAUAACCACCACAUUCAACUUUCAAGUUAUUCUUACUAGCUUUAUCCGUGUUCAAUCUCACCUAACCCAAAGGAGGAGGAGUCCACCUUAUUUUCUUAGCCUCUCAAAUCAACUUUAUUUUACUACCAUGUAGCUCCGCUACCCAAGAAAAUACUCAUGAGCAACUUUAGUAACAUGCCGCCAUAUAAUUCUAGGUCUCCAAAACAAUUUCAUCACGUCGUUCCUUAUUCUUCCAUAUCCAAAGUGCAGGGAAAGAGGUUGCUCAAAGUUUCAACCACGACGAAUCUCCACUAAUACCAAAAUCCAAACGCAAAUAAGUAUCCAACCACUACUUAAUAUUACUAGUGAAAAAAUAAUCUCUCAUAUUCAACUUAACCACAUUAGUCCAAAUAACAAAUGGUAAAUGACAAUCACAUAAGACAUGUAUAAUGGGUUCCACUUAUGUCCCAUAGUGACUACAAAAAGGUCCUCUUAAUUGCAUUUUAUUUUCUAUCUCAUUGGUCAUUAUCCUACCAUGAUACACAUACUAAAUAAAGGACCUUAUUCGUUCAGAUACUUUAAGCUUCCAUAUCGACCUCCAACUAUCCUCAAUAUUUUGCCUACCAAAAUUAGUCAUUAAUUUAUAACUUGAUGAAACAAUAUACUCAACUUUUUUAUCGUUUGGCCAACAACAAAUAUAUCUUAAACUAUUACCAUCAAGAGGGAGAAUAGCUAGAAUUUUAGUUACCAUAUUUUUGGGAAACAUAUGCUUUAAAAUAUCCAUAUUCUACUUAUCAUUUUGAUCUAAUAUGUCCUCUAAAUUGUGAUAAGAAGUUGUAUUAACACCAAUUGUAUUAAUAUUCAUCAACUUCAUACACGGUUCAACUCAACAAUGAGACCAAACAUCUGUAUUGGCAAUAUCUCUUAUAGAUAAAUAUGCAAAUUGAGCAAACUUAGGCCAUAAGUUACCAAGAUUCUUCCACAAACUUGAAUCAUUUGCCUUAAUAAUCACAUCCUUAUAAUCAACAUUGUUCUUCAUAUAUUCGCCCCACAUAAAUUCAAAACAAAGAGAUUGUUCAUUACCAUGAAUAGCCCAACUAAGCUUCAAAAGACAAAAAUUAUUCAUAACAUCCAAUCGUCUAAUACUUAACCCUCUUAAGAACUUUGGCAACAUCAUUACAUCUUACUUCACCGAAUGAACUCUUCUAUGCUCCUCGCUAUCACCCUAGAUAAAACAAAACUAUAACUUUUGAAUCUCAUGCAAACAAGCUGUAUAAAUGCUAGUAGUCAUCAUAAUAUAGGUUGGAAGAGCUUCAAUAACAACUUUAGAGAUAUUUACCCGACCUGCAAAAGAAAGAUGUCAAGUUUUUCAAAUGACAAACUUUGACUUAACUUGCUUUAGGAUAUAAUUAAAAUCAGAUCUUCUUGGUGCACUUCUAACGAGAGGGACACCCAACUAUUUUCCAAGUGAUUGUGUUUUACAGAAGCCAGACAUAACAUCCAAUUUACGACGAAUAGACACAUGAGUGUCUCUAUAAAAAAAAAUGCUUGUGUUUACCAAUAAUCACUUGCUAACCAAACAAAAGGAAACAUUGAUUAACAAUACCGAGCAUAUUGAAUUUAAACCCAUGUAGCUUGACAAAAAAAUAUAAGAUCAUCUACAAAUAUCAAGCGAGAUAUGAAAGGACAAUUUCUACCCGCCUUCAUAGUUUUCCAAAAGUGUUGCUCCACACAAUGAGAAAUAAGAUGAGACAAUUUAUCAAUGCAAGCAACUAAGAGGUACUAAGAAAUAGGGUCUCCUUGUCUGAUACCUAUUUCCAAGUUUGCAACCGUUUUAUCGGUUAGAACAAGAUUUGAUUCUGCAUCAGACCUUUAAUUUUAAUGAUAACAAUGCAUUGUUUCUUAGAGAAUAAUUUUGUACACUAAUGAUUCUCAUCUAGUGUGUAGUUUUUAAUAACAUGUUUUGACUCUGAAGUAAUGACAUGUGACAUUAUCAGAUUCUGGAAUCAACACACUCUGACUCCGAGAAGAUUCAAGUUCUUUACAAGAUGUUGUCAAGUUCUAUAAAGCUCUUAGACAACGGUUGUAAGGAACGUUCAUGUUAAAGCUUCUGAAUGUGACUAUGAUUGAAGAGCCUCCGAAGGUUUGUUUGUCUUAAAGAUUAUGUGCUCAAAUUUUGAAGAUUUUGAAGAACAAGAUCUGAAGACUCUGAAGACCAGGUUCUGAGGAACUCUGUCAAGACUUUGAAGACCAAAGUUCUGAAGAUUAUGUCAACUUGUCUCUUGAUCCUUCUAAGCAUGCUUCAACAUCAUUUCAUUAUAAGCCUAUGAAGAUUAGAAGAUAAGAUCAAAAGGUUUUGCGUCAGGAAAAUAGUACACAAUACAAGAUCGCCAUUUCCUCCACUACUAUGAUUUUUUGGGCUAAGGACAAUAUUAUUGUACCAUUUUGUCUCACAUGUGCAAACCGUAAUGAAAAGAGACAACUGCAAUUCAAUAUUUCAAUUCUACCCUCCAACGGUUCUUUUAUAUGCCUAUAUAAAGGAUACUUGAAGAUUGGAAGAAUCUGCUAAUUCACUGCACUCAUAACAACACUACUACACACGCUCUUGUUGAAAUCAUAUUAUUUCUGAGUAUAGUUUUUGUAAAUACACAAGAGUUUUUACUCGUUAUUGUGUGAGAAAUAUUUGUAUUAACUUGUUAUAUAUUAAUAUAAAUAUAUUAUUAAUAUUUAUAAAUUAUGAAUUUUUAAUAAAAAAUUAUAUUUAAACAUAAAUUCAUAGUAUUUUUUCAUGGAUUUCAGAUCAACUGUUUUUUUGUCAAUAAUAUAUAUAUAUAUUAUAUAUAUAUAUAUAUAUAUAUAUAAUUUUUUGUAGUAUACUAUAGUGUUUAUUAAUGUUAUGUAAAAAUAUAUAGUAUACUAAGGUAAGUAAGUAAUUAAUAUUCAUAAAUUAAUUAUAUAACAGAAAAUAAACUAAAUUUAUUAUAUAUCUUUUUGGUUAUCAAAAUCACUGAAUUUGUAGUGACGUGCAACAAUUGUGACCCAGAAACCGCAACAGUGAUUGUGAUGAUGAAACAAUAUAAAAUUCAAGGCGACCGUUCAAUAGUGUUCAUUUUGUAGUAAUGCGCAAGUCUGGCAUUAACAUCUCUCCUACCAUCAAUUUGGUUCAAUUCAUCUAAAAUAAUAUACACUAAUAAAUAGAAGUAUAAGAGGAUCAUAAUAUAGUAGUGAUAUCAAGAUGGAUUUCUACAAUGGAAACGUUGAUGAACGAUCUAUACGGUGGAAUCAGAAAAUUUUGUGUUGGAAGACUCAAAGAAUAUGAUUUGCUAACAAAAUCUCUUUAUGGACUAAAACAUGUGUCUCGUUAGUGAUACCACAAGUUUCAUGAAGUAACUCUCCUAUUUAGCUUUGAGGUGAAUCUUGUUGAAGAUUGUACGUAUUACAAAUUUAGUGGGAGGAAGUAUAUUUUCUUAGUCCUAUAUGUUAAUGACAUAUUGCUUACCUCCAAUGAUAUAGACAUGAUGUACGAAAUCAAGAAAUUUCUAUCAAGAACAUUCAAAAUAAAAGAUCUUGGUGAUACCUCUUUUGUAUUAGGAAUUCAAAUACAUCGAGACCGAUCUCGAGGUAUUCUCGGAUUAUCACAAAUGAUAUAUAUCGAAAAGCUACUUAAAAGGUUUGGCAUGCAAGAAUGUAAAUUAGGGGAUACUCCAAUGGCUAAGGAAGUCAAAUUCCGUCUCAGUUAGUGUCCAAAAGGAAACUUAGAAAUUCAAGAAAUGCAAAAGAUUCUUUAUGUGUCAGCUGUAGGGAGUCUGAUGUAUGAUUAAGUGUGUACGCGUCCGAAUAUUGUGUUCAUAGUUGGGAUGUUAGGCAGAUAUUUGAGCAAUUCAGGAAUGGAUCAUUAGAAAGCGGCCAAAAAUGUUAUGAGGUAUUUAAAGAGAACAAAAAACUAUAUGCUCACAUAUAUGAGGUCAUACCUCCUAGAGAUCACUAGACACUCUGGCUCAGAUUUUGCUAGAUGCUAAAAUAGUAAAAGAUCCACUUCAGGCUAUAUCUACAUGUUGGUUGGUGGUGCAAUUUCUUGGCGUAGUGCUAAGAAAAUCCUUACGGCUUCAUCCACCAUGGCAACAUAGUUUAUAACAUGUUAUGAGGCUCCCAACCAUGGGAUUUGGCUGAGGAAUCUUGUCAUUGGACUGCAAAUUAUGGAAGGAAUUGAAAGACCACUUAAGUUAUACUAUGACAACAAAUCAACCGUCAUGUAUUCUAACAAUAAUAGUAGCUCCACCAAGUCCAAACAUAUUGACAUCAAGUUUCUAAUUGUUAAAGAAUGGGUACAAAGUGAACAGAUUUCUAUAAAACAAUUGGGUACAAACUCCAUGAUAGUAGAUCCUCUUACAAAAGGUCUCCAUCCAAGGUCUUUCAUGAGCACAUUGCUCACAUAAGUGUUUUAUCGGUAGAGGAUGACACUGACGUCAGCGAAAAAGUUUGAAGAGUGUCGAAAAUACUUUUAAAAAAUGUCACCUUUCUUUUUUGGAUUCAAAAUCGAAAUAUGACAUUUUGGGGAGCAAUUUGUUACCUCAGAUUUUCGAGACAAGCAUUAAUUAUUAAAAAUGAGAUAAGUUUUACGUGAUAAUGAGUUUAUUGCUAAAAAUCAAAGUGGUCAGUUACGAUCAUGGAAAGCUUGACGAAUUUGAUUUAUCGAGAAACAUGUAUCAACUUUGGCCGUAUUGUAAUCAGUCAGAGACCAUGAAGUUUAUUAGUUUUAGGACUUAGUGAAAUUCAGAGUACCCAAAUAUUUUUUCUAAGCAGUCGAAUGAGGUGUAAGAGGAUAAGAUCAGACAACUAUUUGAGGACACAUGGGAGCCUGUCAAAGACGGAGGCUGCAUGUAAACGAAAAUGUGGUAUAUUUUGCUUUGUCGACCGUUGUAGACGGUUAACUUAGGACUAAUAUAUAAGUAAGCAUUCACUUAUAUUUUAGGAGUCCGCAAGUGGUAUGAUAGUACUUUGAGUGUAGAAAAGAAAGUCAAUUGGAAGACUUGGUGGAGAUUCUCUUGUUGGUCAAGUCUCUGCCUGAGGUAGAAGACACAUUUGUUUGGUGGAAAGGUUGUCAUAGUUUUUAAGUUAACGGUAGUUAUAAUUUCUUGUUAAAAUUAUACAAUGAGGAGAUUCAUCUGGAAGAAGUGAGAGAGGUCCCAAGCAAGGUUCAAUCUUUGAGCUGGAGGCUCUUGCUCAAUCGACUCCCAACUAAGAUUCAACUUGCAAGAAGAGAGGUUCUUGAAGAUAGUCACAACUUGGUGCACCCUUUAUGCUUAAUUAAAGAAUAAGAUGAAACUCAUAUUUUCAUGGGUUGCUUAGUAAAUAAGUUUGUUUAGAAGAAGGUUAACGACUAUAUCGAAAUUGCAAAAGUGAAAGAAGCAUAACAUUAUUUCUUCCCAUUUAGUCCAAUUUUGCUCAUUGAUCAAAAAAGAAUUUUUUAGAAAAAUUUAAUUGCUUAUUUUGGUCGGUUGUUUUGUUGGAUUCUUUGAUCUUGUAUAAAUAAUAUUUUAUUUAAAAGAGCUCUCUUGUAUGAGUGGACACUGGUAGGAGUAUCAAGCUUCUAUAAUAUGAAUGAUCUCAAGUCAAUUUCAAAAGUUCUCUUUGUUGGGUUAAAUGGUAUAUUAAUCUAAGUCCCACAUCGGGUAGUAGGAAGAAAAUAGAAAUUGAGUAUUAAUAUAAAUAGAGAUAGUUGAUUUUAGUUUUCUAUCAACAACAAAAUGUAGUCUUUCGGUGUGUAUUGAGGAUUUGGGUAGUUGUGUGUUUAUGGAGGGUUUUCUAUUCAAAAAUAGUCCGUUGAGAGGGUUUUUAUUUUUUCGUUCAAAAAAUAGUUUGUUGAGUAAAAAUUACAAGUUUAAUUUUUGCUUAUUUUUCUUUUUUGUGGGUAUAUUUUUGCAUGCGUAAAAAAAUUCUGAUCAAGGGAGGAAGAAGAUAAAAAAAAACUGAAGAGUAUAAAUAAAGAUAGUUUAUUUUAGUUUUCUACACAACAAUCAAAUGCAGUCUUUUAAGUGUAUUUGAAGAUUUUGGUAGUUGUGUGUUUAGAGAGGGUUUUUUAUUUUUCUUUUCAAAAAUUAUUUGUUAAGAGGGUUUUUUUAUUUUUUCUUUCAAAAAUAGUUUGUUGAGAGGGUUUGCAAUUUUCCAUCCCAAAAUUAUAGUUGAGAGAAGAUUUGCAAUUUUUUCGUCCAAAAAUUGUAAUGGAGAGAGGGCUUAUAAUUUUUCCGUUCAAAAAUUGUAAAUGAGAGAGGGUUUGUAAAUUUCUCCUUAAAAAUUGCAAUUGUAUGAGAGAGUUUAUAAUUUUGUCAUUGUAAAAAUUACAAGUUGAAUUAUGAUUUUAAGAGUUUUUGCUUUUUUUUGUCGGUAUGCUUUUGCGUGCGUAAUUAGGCGGAUUAGAAAUCCAAUUUGGGGAGUUGUUUAUCUUGCAAGUUUAUCUCCUAUCUUUCUAUUUCUAUUGUGGAUGUAUCUCUUAGGUGUUGUCCCUAAAAUAAGGGUUGAACACCCUUUAUACUCUUUUUUAGUAGAAAUCAAUAUCCUCAUCGCGCAACUGCAUAUAUUAAUCUCUCGAGCUGAAUAUUAAUCUCUCGAGUCGAGGAAGACCACAACAAACGAUAAAACUCUCCCUCAAGAGAUUUAACAUUGUUGCGUGUCCAAUGUGUCCAAUGUUGAGUUUGAACCAAAAAUCUCUUGUUUAACUAAAAGAGACCAUUAUCAUGUCAUUCAAAUUCUCUUGCAUACCCUUUUAUUCCUUUUAAUUCAAUUCUCCUUCGCUUAUAAAAAACACUUUCUCUUUCUCUUGAAUAAUUUACCCUAAUAUAUUGCCCACACUUCAUAUUUAUUUUCUCAUUCUUUGUGUGAAUAAUGACUAAGUUGGUCAUAUAUAUAUAUUUCCCGACAACAAUGUAUAAUUCAUUCAUUAAAAGACAAAAGGUUAGUACAAAUGAUAUAAGCUAAAGAUUCAUAGACCUUUCCUACUAGACUAUGCGCAGCCUAUUUUACAAAGACUAUGACAACAAUAUUCAGACACAAUGCAACUAAGUUAGAUUCAAUUAUUGCGAGAAUUACUUGUCAAAUUGAUUAACUCCCCUGUAAAAUGUGAGACAGCAACAGCUAUGACACUUGUCAAGUCUCAAAACUCUUCUGAAUUUUUACAAAUAUCCUUUAGAUUUUAGGAUCUGGAUCUUGUUUUUGAAUCCCGACGUUGUGUGAAUCACUAAUGAACAUUAAAAUAAACAUUCGGUUAAAUCAAAUUAUGAAUCAACAUUAGUGAAAAUACAUCUAUAUAAAUUUAAAACAUCAAUGAAUCUAACUGAUCGUUCAAAUCACAAUAACAUUAACAUUAACAUUAAUUCUAAACAAGUGAAAGUCUGCUGCUUGUAAUAAAUUGUAGUUAGAUAGGAGUUUAUUUUUAUUCACUACAACAAACAAGACCUUAGACAGCGCUUUUUUUAGCCUUAGACAGCGCUUUAAAGCGCUGUCUAAACCUCCGCUGUUAAAGGUUUAGACAGCGCUUUUUUAAAUCUUAAAAGCGCUGUCUAAGCCCCCCCCCUUAGACAGCGCUUUGGCCAAAAGCGCUUUAAGACCCUCUUAUUUUAAAUUUUUAGGUAUACCUUAGACAGCGCUUUUGAAAAGCGCUGUCUAAGCCCCACCCCCUUAGACAGCGCUUUGGCCAAAAGCGCUUUCUAAGACCCUCCUAUUUAAUUUUUUUAGGUAUACCUUAGACAACGCUUUUCAAAAGCGCUGUCUAAGCCCCCCCCUUAGACAGCGCUUUUGCCUAAAGCGCUUUCUAAUCCCCCUUAGACAGCGCUUUUACAAAAGCGCUGUCUAAGGUAUACGAAAAUUUUUGAAGCUUUUGUUUUAAACCGCAUUUUUUCCAGGUUUAUAACCAGAAUUUCUACCUGUUUCAACCAGAUUUUGACAGACAAUUAUCACAUUUUAUAUAUGCCAUUUUGACCUUUUUUCUACCAAUUUUGGCUAACAAAUAUAUAUAUAUAUACCAAUUCAAACCAAUACAAAAUUACUAAUAUAUUAAAACUACAAAAAUAACUCUAAUCAAAACUACUAAAGUUACAGUAACUAGAUGCACUGUGGUUGCCUCGUUUAUAUCAUUUAAUUCUACCAUCGCAUGCAUGCAUGUCGCAUCCUGCGAAAAAUCAACCGGCGAGCUAAAAUAAAAACACACAGAGCCGCCACUGCGCGGUUAUUUAUCCCUGGAUAGGGAAAGGAAACGCUCAGAGAAACCUGGAAAGAACAUGGUCUCGCGACCAAAGAGAAAGGGUAAGGGAGUCGGUUACGCAAGGGGAAGGUAUUAGCACCCUCACGUCCGUCGUACUCGACGGGAUCCACGUCCUAGAAUAAAGAAUAGGUGCAAACAUCACACACACACACGGGGAACGCAGGUGGGUUUAGGAGAAGGGAGCUCGAUAAGGUAUCGCACCUUAUGCCUACAUAUCUUGUCUGGAACAAGAAUCAGAGCCACUGUAGUUCGGCUUACGCACGCCAAACAACACAAAACACACAAACAGACAAGGGGGCAAACAUGGAGCCCGACAACCACUGGAUGGAAUUACGUCAGCAUCCGAACCAAAACGCACUCAAAAGGGCAAACGUGGAGCCCGACUGCCAAUCACUGGCUUACGUCGGCAUCCGAACCAAAACACACAAUCAGAUAACAAGUAAACGCACGCAAAAGAAAAGGUUGCCCGGAGAGGUCUCGCACGACCCCCUGCCCUACAUACCUCGUCUGGAACGAGGAUCAGGGCGAUGUAGUUCCCCUGAAAGGGAAAAAGAUUUCAGCCAAAAACCGGGGGAAGACGCACUACCAGGGAGCUGGACUCGAGCCUAGUGUUGUCAUGCAUCGUUACCUAAGUUCAGUUUUCUAUCCUACUUACAUAAGCAAACUAUUCCUAUCCAGGAAAGAAGCAAGCACACAAGCAUACAAAAUAAUUCAAGCAUACAUCAAAUGAGAACAAGCAUCUCAAACAAGCAUGUCAAUCAGAUAUCCACAUAGCACGCACUAUAAACCAAACAAGUGGCUCACACAAUAGGUUGACUGCCUCAGCAAGUCGUCUGUACGGGCUGUGUGUGCUCUUAACCUUGCAUUACGAGGCUAAGGUGAACAGAUGAAAGGAUGAAGUGAGGAUCAGACCUCACAGCUCUUAUCCCUAACCAGGGAGAGCUUCUGACAAAUGAGCAUGGGUCCAGAAUGGGGGAACCCUUCUAUACCAGAGACUCUGGCACAAUGUGCACUGCACGGAUCUUGGGCUUGUAAUCUCAAUGCUACAACCAUGUAAUGGGAGCAGGAGAAGACUCACAGAAUAGUGGGGGAUAGAUUGCUUAUCCUAACUUCCACCAAUUCCUUAUUUAAAGGACUUUCACCUGCUUGGCACGAAAUAAAACAACCACAAUCAUUGCCUCUUAAGGAGGACUUCAGACAGUUUGCCCGUCAAAUAACAGACCGGGUCUCCAGACUACAGAAGUCAAGAGGACCUACCUCAAGCGCGUUUACCCAACCAGCAGCAGCUACCAAGCAAGUUCUUAAAAGAACUAGAAGCGGCUAAAGGUACCUGUACAAAAAGCUAACCAAUUAGCAACUCAGACAAACAGUCAGAAAACAACAAGUGUUCAACCAAUCAGACUAUACAAACUAAUGCACAACAAAGCAAGCUCAAAAACUCAAGCCCAAGCUUCACAACCUACAAAACAAAGUUAUGUUUAGUGUACAAACAUCAAACAACAUCAAUUGCAUUUAACUUGAUUCAUUCUCCAUGUGCAUUGGCUAUUCAUCCUGAAAAAUCAAGCAAACAUUAGCAACAGACCACUAGGCCAAGCUAGGGUCCAAAGGCAAGAAAAAUUCCUAAACAGCAAGGUAUCUCUAACCAAACUCAAAUUAUGUCAAACAAAAGCCAACACAAUUAAUCCCAUGGCCUAUCAUUCAUCAUGUUCAUUUUAUGCACAAAACAAAUCAAACUAGUUCAAAUGGAACACAAAACAUCCAAACAGAAACUAUUGCAUUCAAAUCCAUAUCAAAACAAAUCAAAAAAAUCUCCAAUAAAUUACACCUAAACAGGGUCUAUUCAAGGUAUGGCACACCAAAUUUCAGCUUAAUUGGGCAAAGGAACACCAUUGUCAAUGAAAAUCAACAAAAACGACACAAUUAUAUGCUCCAAAUCACAACAUCAACACAUGCUUCCAUUUCAAAAUUCAUAACUCAAUGAAAACAGUAAAGAAAAGGAUGGGACCAAAGCAGGAUGUCACAUCAUGUGUCUACAACUAUCAUACCAAAUUCAUAAAGCAUUCAACCACCAUAUGAGCAUGUUUCCACAAGGAUAUUUCAAACACAUGUCACACAAGCUGCACAUUGACCAACAGAGAUGAAAAAUAGCAAUCCAAAUUGAAAAUGCCACAUCUCUNNNNNNNNNNNNNNNNNNNNNNNNNCAGUAACUAUUUGCCAUUCAAAUCCAUAUCAAAACAAAUCCAAAAAAAUCUCAAAAAAAUUACACCUAAACGGGGUCUAUUCAAGGUAUGCACACCAAAUUUCAGCUUAAUUGGGCAAAGGAAACCAUGUCAAUGAAAAUCAACAAAAACAGACACAAUUAUAUGCUCCAAAUCACAACAUCAACACAUGCUUCCAUUUCAAAAAUUCAUAACUCAAUGAAAACAGUAAAGAAAUGGAUGGGACCAAAGCAGUGAUGUCACAUCAUGUGUCUACAACUAUCAUACCAAAUUUCAAAAGCAUUCAACACCAUAUGAGCAUUCAAAGGAUAUUUCAAACACAUGUCACACAAGCUUGCACAUUUGACCAACAGAGAUGAAAAAUAGCAAUCAAAUUGAAAAUGCCACAUAAAAUUCCACAAAAAUUCACAUAGCAUCUUAACAUGUUAAUGAACAUCCAUGCAAAAUUCACAUCAUUUCACCAAGUAUAGGUCACUCAAAUAAAUCCAGCAAGUUGACAUAAUGAGGUGUGACCACAGUUGUCACACCUAAGUUCCAAAAUUCAUAACUCAAUGACCAGGUAUCAAAAUUCAUGAAAUUACAUGGAAAAAGCCUCAACCAGUCCACAUUUACCACAAAAAAAUUUUCAGAAUUUAUUGUAGCUGAGAAUUUCACAUUUGGAUUUGGCACAAUAUCCAAAAUGUGCAAUGUUAAAGAAACCCAGGUCAAACAUAAUGUUCUACCAGCACAACUUAACCAAUAGGUCAAAAAAAUCGUAGAGUCAAAAAGGAAGUCAAAAGAAAAAAUGGCCUAUGAUUUUAUGAAUUUUCUAUGAAUUUUUGGUGAAUUUUCUAAGUCAGGGUGAUUUUUUAACAAUUGAGAUUAAUUAGAAAUUGGAAUUUACAAUGGCAGAGUGGUAAUACAGUGCGCGGGGGAGGGAAACCCUAAUCAAAAAUUUCCCCAAACCAGAUUUGGGAUCAAACAUCACUCUCCUUGUCAAUAAUUUUGUCCAGAAAUUACUAAGAACCGCAUGAACACGCGAAAUCCAAACGACACGCAAAAAUGAGCAUGCGAAUAACCGAUAGGACCGUGGCUGAACAUGUAGAAGCUAAUAGAGCUUAUUAAGCCUAACCUGUUCCUCUAUUUUUCUCCAAUCGAUCGGACCUAGGCGUUGUUGUCCUUAGAAACUGCAAAUCAGGAUAACUUCCCUCAGGUUAUCAUUUCACAAACCAAUCAUACCACCAUAUCUACAGUCCACGAAACUGAUAAACCGGCAUGGAUAAUUAAAGAAACGGUAAAACUGCGAAUUCUGACCUUGAUCUUUGAAAGACAUGUGUUGAUUUUGAGUUUCAGUCGUUUUGAUCCAAAACAGCAGCAGGACAGCUCCAGGGAAGUGAAUGCUAGCCUCAGGGCUGAAUCGAUGUUCUAUCCUCCUAGCGCGCAAACUGAUUCACCAUUGAUGAUGCAAUUGUUGGAACAGUGUACGGAUUUACCACGGUCCGUUUCCGUUCCAAUCUCACCCAUCAAAAAGAUUGAGAUGAUCUGAUGAGAGGAGUUCAAAUUAAAAAGAAAUCGCAGAUGUGACAAGGAUUUGGAGGAAGAGUGGUAGUUUUAGGGUUUGGGUGUUAUUGAGGAAUUUUGAUGAGAAUAGAAGCGUUGUCAGAUCUGGGUUUUGGAAUGGGGUAAUUCUGUGAAUUAGAUGAUGAAUUAGGAAUAGAUAUCCCUUGCUUAAUCCCAGCUUAAUUACACCAGUAACCAAAUGGAAAUUGAUGAGUGACAAUGGUUUCAAUUUCUCAAAGCAAAGGUGCAAAAGUGUAACAUGCAUAUGCCAGCUCAUUGCCCCGUAUGGACAGCGCACACACUCUCAAAAUGGACAGUGUGAGCUGUGGCAAACUUGUUUCACUACCUCCAUUUGGGAUGAGUAUUGUUUGGGAAAAUUUCACUAUUGUGAUGGUCACUUUGUCCAUUUUUGCAUUUCAUUUUAAGUCCAAUUGCCAAACCACAAGGCCUAGGCAGGUUAAGGAUGAAGUUCCAACAAAAGUUCACAAUACAUUUAUGAGGUGUGUGCAAAAAAUCCCACUCAAAAAGUCUCAAUUAUUUCACAAGUUGGACAAUUGGGCCCCUGGUCAUUAACUGGUUACAGUGAAAUUUGACAUUUUUGCAUGUGACCAUUUUUGCGACAAACCAAUUCACCUGCACCAUGAACAGUACCAAAUGGGUCUAAAUGAGUCGUGCUGGCAUAUAAAGUAACCCCAUGAAUGCAAACCUAAGGACCAAACACAUGGUGGAGAGUUAAUGGGGGACACCGGUACCUUGCAAUUGGGUCAUUUUUGAAUUGUUCACGAGCCAUAAUGAUCCAACCAUACAUGGGAUUUUCAAGUUCUUGGACUUUUUGGAAAGGUGAGAACAAGAUCUACAACUUUCAUGUUGAACAAUUUUCAUUUGAAGCUUCCUUAGACACGUGGCUUUGAGGUCCAAAACUUUCCAUUUUUUGGAAACUUCAAUUACAAGGCACUUUUCUAUUUUUGUGUAGUUCGUGUCCUGACUUGAUGUUCUUCAUUUUAAGCUUUGAGAUUCAUAUAACACUGUUCCAACAUGAAUGAAGUGUAUCCAACUCAUGUUCACCUCCAAAUCCAUCAAAUCAUGAACAGUUGACCACAGUUGACUUUUUCAUCUGAUAGAUGAAUUGGGCAUACAUAGAUCAAUCUGAGCCCCAAUCUUCAACUGAAAUGGCUCAAGGGUGAAACCCUAGCCUCAAUAAGCUCAAAAUAAUCAUAGAAUGAACCCCAUAACCAUCACAAACCCCAUCUCCUGAUCAUGCCCGGCUGGCCCACUGCCAACUGAUAGGGUUGACCAGUGGUCAAAACCCUAAUCUCAAGGGAUCUGCUUCAACACUUGAUUCUUCUGAUGAUAACCAACCAUGAUGAUGAUGAUGUAUCAUUGCAAUCAAGAUGAAGACCACCAUCCAUUGAGAAUCAUGAAACCCUAAUUUGUAGCCCAAUCCUCAGAUGGCCAAUGAUCAGUCAAUAAACCCUAGGCUUGCCUUGACUUCCUCAUCUUCUGAUAAGAUUGAGAGGAUAGCUUGCACAACGUAACCACAUGAUAUGCCAAUAUGAAAUUCCUAAUGACCUAAAAAUGUAUGCAAUAUGUUAAUACUAGUCCCAAGAGAGGAGGGCAAAUUUUGAGGUGUUACAAUGCAUAUCUAAACAAGGCAGGGGUUGCUAUCGUUCUGUAAUACUUUAUAAAUAAUUAAGAAACUGAAUUGUUUUUUUUUUUACUGGAUUGUUCUUCAGCAGGUGCUGUUAUGCAUAUAACUAACUGUCUACGUCAAUGACACAUCUCACACGAGCAUUCUAAAAGAUAUUAAAUUAUAUAUGAAGAUGAAUUCAAAACAGGUAACCAGGACAAUUCCUCUUUAUUAAUUCUCAAUGCAUACGAUAUGGUCAUCUAUUUCUUCCUCUGGUGGGGCAUCAGAUAUGUCUGCAAUCUUAUGAAUACAAAAAUCAAAAUCUGAGAACCUAAGCGCUUCUCAUUCAGAUAUUAAUUGUAUACUUGUUCCAUGAUUCCAUGAUGAUGAUGGUAAAGACGACUUUAAUCCAUAUAGACUCAAUAUAUCUCUUUCUAAUUUUGUAUUUUUGAGAAUCCUUUUUUGAUGGUUAUCAAUAUAAAAACUAUUAUGAAAAAAAUAGUUUUUCAUGUAGAAUAACAUGUGUGACUUCCGUCAAAUUCCACUAUUUUUAUGUUAAUGAUACCUUUACAAUACAUAUUUUCCUUUAGAAAUGUAUUUAUACCCUCUCGCAAUAACACAUUUUUCACUUUAAAUCACUUCAGAUGAGUUAUAUUUUAUCUAUUUAUUAUUGUGACACACCACAAAAAUUGUUAUAAGAAAAUUCCAAAACCUAUAAAAAACUAAUGGUACAUAAAUCGAUUAAAUGAAUGACUCUGUACCAAUUAUUAGGACAAGAUGGAGGAGAAAUUUCAAUUGCUAAAUCAUUUUCUUCGGGUUUCUACACUUGGCCACCCUUAUCAGCUUGCAAUUGACAAACUCAGCCAAUAUCUUGAUAUCUUCAUCUUCCAAACGAGCUCCAAUGUACACUGCCCUCGAGGCAUGCAUUCUUUUACCAAAUCCCUGCAUGAAAAUUGAAGCCCUAAACAUAAACUAUGAAGAAUGAAGAAUAAAUCAUAAAGAAAAAGCUAAUUUUCUAAAUUCUCAAGUCUAUACAAUUACAAUAUAUCUCAUCGCAUUCUUCCUUGCCAUAGUAUGUGACGCGGUAGAUUCUUCUUCUGUAUCAACUCCAUUUCUGUACAGCAACAUCAGAAGAAAGAAACAUUGAUUCACGCCUUCACUUUAGGGCAGAGAGCAAUUCACAAUGAGAGUUCUGAGGUUCUUUACCUUUGUAAAUCCUUGUGUGAUAGAUGUUGAUCCCUGUUAGAAAAUAAAAAUCAAUUUUGUGUUUGCUAGAACAUAAGAAAAGUUAUGUGAAGAGGAUGAUAUGCUUACUGGUUGUAUAAAUGUUUUCCACCUGCAUCGUGACAUCCAAUACAUGUUUGACGGAAACAAUGAGGCUCCUCUUAGGAUAUCUAGGGUUUGGGCACUUGAAACUGUAGAACAAGAAAAGUGAUUGGCAAUUUGGAUGGGAGCGAGUAGUGCAAUUUGAAUAGAGACGCAGGGGCAAUUUAGUAUUUUAGACAGGAGCAAACCUGGAGUGACGCAAAUUGGAGAAAAAAGCAAGAAUGCAGCAGCAAGAGAGGGAGCCAGGUGGUUGAAAAACUUGACUUGGUUUGUCUUUGUAGGAAUGGGCUUCAACUGGUUCUUCCUCUGUUGGGAGGGGCAUCAGAUAUGUCUGCAAUCUUAUGAAUAUCAAAAUCAAAAUCAAAAAGUUGAGUAUUGAAAAAUGUCCUACAUGCAUGUUUUAAAUUGCAGUUGUGGAAAUUGUAGUUUUAAUGUUGCUGAGACUUCAACAUCCGCAAUUAUAGUUGUGGAGUGCAAUUUAAACUAAGAUUUGUAUGCACAAGUCUGUAAAAGUUUUAGUUUGUAAAUUACUACACAUACCUAUAACCCCACUCAUUGUCAUACCACGAGACAACUUCACAAAGGACUUACUAAGCCCAAUCCCAGCCUUUGCAUCAAAGAUACUCGACCUGUUAAUAAGAAAUACAUUUAAAUUAAAACGCUUACUUGGCAAACAAACAUGAUCCUAACAACAACAGAAAAAAACUGCGACUAAUAUCAUAAAAGAGCGAGAUAAAUAAAGUUUAGUUUUAAGACAAAUAAAAAUCUGCUUUGAGCAUAUGUAAAUGAAAAUUCAAAAUGUGCAUAAUACCAGAUUUUAGCAUGUAUACUAGAUAAAAAGGCACAAGAGUGUCUGUCCUCUUAAAGAUGCUGAUAGUGAAUCUAAAUUUUGAAAUACAGCAACAUUUACUUACCUUGAAUCACCAACAAAGUCAUUAGAGAACAACUCUCAUCUGUGUAUCCAAGAAUUCCCUCAAUGUCCCUCUGAAGCGUGCCUUCAUUUUUUUUCAGUAGCAAGUAAUAGAAAACCAACGAAUGGUUAGUACAAAACAACUCGACAUGAGAGAAUAUAAGCCGGUCAGAAAAGUAAGAGACAUUACGUUAUUGCUGCUUUAACAUCUUCAUAGGAGGCAUUCUUUUGAAGCCGACAGGUAAGUCCACAACAGAAACAUUAGGAGUAGGAACACGAAAGGCCAUUCCAGUGAGUUUUCCAUUUUUAGCCGGAAGAACUUUUCCAACAGCCUGGAAUUUCACAAAGUGCAAAACUAAUUUAAUAAAUGUAAUUGGUAAGCACAGAAACUCUUAUGGCCAUCCAUCUCUUACCUUUGCAGCACCGGGAGAACUUGGAAUUAUAUUUGAGCUGCACCUCUUCCCCAUCAUUGAUUUCCUGCUGCAAAUCCUUCGGAUCCUUUCAUCAACAGUGCAUCCAACCGAGACACACGCAUAUUAGAUAAGUAAAUCCAUAAACAUUGUUUUUCAUUAACACAUAUCCAUGAAAAACAAUGUUUUAAUGGUGCAUGGAUCAUUUAUAAUUAACUAAUCCAUCCUAAAUGUUAUUACAUCAUAGCACCAUGCUACAUCCUAUCCAUCACAUGUUACAUGUUACAUGGUUUUGAUCAAAAGAUAAAAAAAGGGUUUCUCGCUUUGAAUGGCAGCCUUAACCUAAUGAUUCUUCCAUGCUCCACCUAUCCACUUGCCAUGCCAUGUUAAAUUCCCUUUGGGCCUGCCAAUAAACAUCAAGCAUUCAUCGAUACAUCAUAAUAGUCCCACCUCAAGCAACAACCAUAUCAUUCAACAAUUGCAGAGAAGCUCAACAUUCCAUUCAUCAACAGUGCAUCAACAUAACGAGCAAAUUAGAAAACAACAGUGCAAUAUCAAGAAUCAUUUGGCACAUGGAUAAACAAUAACAACAAUAAAUACAUCUGUUCAUAGAAGUAACAAUCAUUAAAAGAGCUAUCAUUCAACAUAAAAAAUACUAAACUAACAAGAACCCAUCCAAAGUUAACUAACAGUUUGUAACAGAAUAUAGCAGGCAACAUCAUAAUGUAAUUAACAUUUAACAACUCAUUUUCAAACUAACAGUAUAUGUAUCUUCGUUCACAUUUCACUUGAAUUUGAAUUUGAAUUUGAAUUUCGUGACUAACAAAACCAUUUCAUUCUAACUGAAAAUGGAAUUUCAUUUGAAUUCACGUAUCAUUUUCGUAACAGAUUCAAAGCCUUUAAAUUCAUCUCACACUUCACAUUUAAGGGGGUUCACGUUUUUCCAGAAAUACUCUCAACCUCUUUAUUUUUGUUUCCCUCUUAACUCACACACAACACUCCCUCUCCAAUUCAUUCACAGCGAAGAUUCAAUCCCUCACAGUUCUCUCCCAAACUCAUAGUUCUCUCUCAAUUCACCUCUAUCUCCUUCAGCAGAGCCUCUCAAUCCUCUCAAAGCAAACACAAGAGUUCAUAGUAGAAGAAGAGAUCAUAGUGAAAGAAGAAUAAGGAUAUUAAUUUAAUCUUGAAGAGAUGUUUUGGUAGAAGUUACCUGAAGUAACAUAGGGAGUUGAAUAUUCGAGCUUAUUGUCAAUCGCUUUGAAGAGACGUCAGAGCUACUCCGGCCAAUAAGCUCUUUUGCAUUUCUCCUUCAGUUCAUCUUCAACUUGUGCCAAGAUGUAGACCUUAGCCUAGGGAAUUGAUCCCUAAAUGAGGUUGGCAUCAACUUCCUUUCCCUUGCGUUUAAUUUCUGGAAGAUUGAUUUAGGGUUCUUGUGACAUUAGGCUCGAUUUGGUUGAUUGGUUAGGAAUUAGAUGAAAUUGAUGGUGAAGUCGGAUAGAGGACUUUGGAACAAGACAAAUGAUAUAGGUUUUAUAUUGUUUGGCUCUCCCGCCUCCGCCAUAGGCAAUUUCCGGUCUUUUUCGGGGAGAGACCGAGGGACCGAUCUUGGGAGCGAGGGAACUCGCCGCUCCGACUUCACCUCCGGUGACGCGGACGUAAACUUCGACGACUUGGGAUGGGUCGAGCUUGGGAGGCAUUGUGGAGAGUUUUAGGGGAAAUAGGGUUUCACACGGCGAAAUGAAGAAGCAGCCGCAACUAAAUGAAGAAAUGAACAGAUUUUUUUAAUUGAAAGACUUUAAACAGCGCUUUCUCAAAAGCGCUGACUAAGGUCUAUAUUUAAAAGCGCUUCUAAAAGCGCUCUCUAAGGGGGUCUUAGACAGCGCUUUCUAAAAGCGCUGUCUAAGACCCCCCCUUAGACAAGCGCUGGACAGCGCUUUCAUUAUUUUUUUAGAACAUUUUCCGUGUUUUAUUUUUAUUUUAACCUUAGACAGCGCUUUCUUUUAAAAGCGCUGUCUAAGAUGCGCUGUUAAAAAACCUUUUUGGCGUAGUGAUUGGAUACAAAUGAAACAAAUUGAUUUGUACAAAUUGCAGGGCAUUGUAGUAAGGGUGACAAAAAUGACCGUGAUUCGUAGAACUGACCCGAUAAUAUAAAUUGAUUUAUAGAAAUUGUAAGGUAUUGUAGUUGAGUUACAAUUUUGAGUCCAUCCACCCAUUUAAUAUGCCUUACCAAAGUGAAAAAAUCCGCGAACCGAAGACAUUAUGGGGUGGAUUGUUGAAAAAAAAUAUUUAAAAAAUAGCCAAUCUAAAAAAACAAAUGGUCCAAAACUUAAUACAUAUUAUGAUUUUUCUUCUUCUUAUAAAUACUUGUUUUUGGUUGUUUGAGGGUUAAUCCCAAUUAUUAAAAAUUCAAAAUAUUUAUUUUAGUUGGUUAAAUAUUAAUAUUUAAAUUAUAUUUUUGAAACUCGUAUUAAUGAUUUUAGACUUUUAAUUAUCAUUUUAAUUAAUUAUAGUAAUUUCAAUUCUUGAUGGUUUGGUUUUAUAUAUUUAUUUAUUUAUGAAUAUAUGCAAUAUUUUUUUAAAAGUAAAAUCAAUUAAAAAGAUAUUUUAUAGAAAAACAUUCUAAAAAAUAAAUGAAAAUUUUAAUUAUAAUUUUUUUAUUAAACUAUUAAAAAAUAAAAACAAAUGAAUAAAUAAAUAGGUGGACAAGUCCGUCAUCCGCUAAUCCGUCAUUUUGACAGGACAAACUAGAUUUUUAAGUCAAAUUAUGGAUUUUAAAUCCGAUUUUAUUUAACGAAUUUUGCAUAUUCUAUCCCUUUUUUGAUGGGUUCAAGGGUGGACGCGACGACAUGUUUUGUCACUCAAUUGUCCAUCAUGUUUAUAUCUCACAUCAAAAAUCAUGUGUUGAUUAAGUUCAAAUAUUUUAAUCAAAACUUAUAUUUUAUGUGAUUUAGACUAAUUCUAAUUUUAUAAUUAAAAAAUAUAAAAUAAUCCAUUAAUCUUUGUUCAGAUUAUAAAAUCUAAACAAGCUUUAUAUAAAGUAAUUUUAUAAUCCUAAAUAGUCAAACAUAAUAGAACACAUCAUAAAGAGUACAUAUACAUAAUAUGAAAAGAUCCUAAAAUAUAAAUAUAUAUAUAUAUAUAUAUAUAUAUAUAUAUAUAUAUAUAUAUAUAUAUAUAUAUAUAUAUAUAUAUAUAUAUAUAUAUAUAUAUAUAUAUAUAUAUAUAUAUAUAUANNNNNNNNNNNNNNNNNNNNNNNNNNNNNNNNNNNNNNNNNNNNNNNNNNNNNNNNNNNNNNNNNNNNNNNNNNNNNNNNNNNNNNNNNNNNNNNNNNNNNNNNNNNNNNNNNNNNNNNNNNNNNNNNNNNNNNNNNNNNNNNNNNNNNNNNNNNNNNNNNNNNNNNNNNNNNNNNNNNNNNNNNNNNNNNNNNNNNNNNNNNNNNNNNNNNNNNNNNNNNNNNNNNNNNNNNNNNNNNNNNNNNNNNNNNNNNNNNNNNNNNNNNNNNNNNNNNNNNNNNNNNNNNNNNNNNNNNNNNNNNNNNNNNNNNNNNNNNNNNNNNNNNNNNNNNNNNNNNNNNNNNNNNNNNNNNNNNNNNNNNNNNNNNNNNNNNNNNNNNNNNNNNNNNNNNNNNNNNNNNNNNNNNNNNNNNNNNNNNNNNNNNNNNNNNNNNNNNNNNNNNNNNNNNNNNNNNNNNNNNNNNNNNNNNNNNNNNNNNNNNNNNNNNNNNNNNNNNNNNNNNNNNNNNNNNNNNNNNNNNNNNNNNNNNNNNNNNNNNNNNNNNNNNNNNNNNNNNNNNNNNNNNNNNNNNNNNNNNNNNNNNNNNNNNNNNNNNNNNNNNNNNNNNNNNNNNNNNNNNNNNNNNNNNNNNNNNNNNNNNNNNNNNNNNNNNNNNNNNNNNNNNNNNNNNNNNNNNNNNNNNNNNNNNNNNNNNNNNNNNNNNNNNNNNNNNNNNNNNNNNNNNNNNNNNNNNNNNNNNNNNNNNNNNNNNNNNNNNNNNNNNNNNNNNNNNNNNNNNNNUAUAUAUAUAUAUAUAUAUAUAUAUAUAUAUAUAUAUAUAUAUAUAUAUAUAUAUAUAUAUAAUUGAAGUCAUCCACCGUAUUGAUAUUGUGUAAAUGUGGUAAGAUUGAGGUUUCUAGAGAGAUAUUUGAUCAGAUGCUGAUAAGAGUUUGGUUUCUUGGAAUGUUAUGAUUAUGGGUAUAUGAAUUAUUUCUCAUUAGGCAUGAAAGGAGUUUUUGAUAAGUUGGAAUUCAGUGGUAGCUGGAUAUAAGCUUAAUGUGUGUUUUUAUGAAGCUAUGAAGUUGUUUGAAGCAUUGUUGAAGAGGGGAUUGUGCCGAGCAAUGUUACUUUGCCGAGUUUCUGCUGUUUUGGGUUUGGCUGUUCUUGGUAAUGGAAGAUGGUUUGAUGGGUUUAUGGUUAAGAAUGAAAGAGGAGAUUGUGUGUUUUCAAGGCAGUAGUCAACAAGAAAUUGGUGCAUUGGACUGCUAUAAUUGUGGGCUUAGGAAUGCAUAGUUUGGCUAAUGAAGCUCUGGAGCUAUUUACAAAAUGUGCAGAAAUGGGAUGAAACCUCAUGCUAUAAUUUUCAAUGAUGAUAAAUGAGAAUAAAAUUGAGCCCACAGUUGAACACUCGGUUGCCAACCUUGAUUUGUCAAACAGAUGAUAGAAAGUUUGAAUUCUGCAUGAAACUGAGUUUCUGUCUAAGCAUAGUGCUAAAAGGAAGGGUGGUAUAGGUUAUGGGAAAUUAACACAGUCCAAUCAACAUGUUAAACUCAUGCACAAGAGUUUGAUAAAAACAUAUUUCUUUGGAUCCAUAUUUCUAACAUAUAAUCAGCCACAUACAGGUUCUUCUGCUAGAGUAAUUUACAUUGAUGAAAAUGGGAGUUAAACACAACAGAAAUGAAAAUGGGAGCAGAAGAUUGUAGCUGAAGAGACAACAUUCUCAUUGUCCGGGGACAAAGUUAGUAGCAAAAGCCCAUGCGUUGUUCGCGACAGGGUCAGCAACAUGGUCAUAAAGGUUCUGAAUAGGGCCCUUGCCAGUAACAAUGGCUUGAACAAAGAAACCAAACAUGGAGAACAUAGCCAGCCGACCAUUCUUGAGUUCCUUGACCUUCAACUCUGCAAAUGAAUCAGGGUCAUCAGCAAGGCCAAGAGGGUCAAAAGCACCACCAGGGUAAAGUGGGUCUAGUCCUUCGCCGAGGGGUCCUCCUCCAACUCUGUAGCCUUCAACAAAUCCCAUGAGCACAACCUGAGUAGCCCAGAUUGCAAGAAUGCUCUGAGCAUGAAUCAGGUUUGGGUUGCCCAAAUAGUCAAGGCCACCCUCCGCAAAGAUCUGGGAACCGGCUUUGAACCACACUGCCUCGCCGAAUUUAACACCAUUCUUUUCAAGGAGUUCGGGGAAGGUACAUCCCAAUGCACCAAGCAUAGCCCAUCUGCUGUGAAUUACUUCAAGCUCACGGUUCCUUGCAAAUGUUUCAGGGUCAGCUGAUAAUCCAGCUGUGUCCCAUCCAUAGUCACCAGGAAAUUCACCAGUCAGGUAGGAUGGAAUUUGUUCAGAGAAUGGACCCAAGUACUUGGGACGGUCAGGACCAUACCUGGUUUUCACAACAGAUCAUUCCAAGUCAAAUAUACAAACAAAUUAUCACAACUUUCAAAUAUCAGUCAUUACCUCUAUAGUACCGAAAAGUCUGAAAAAAUAUGUGUCUGUGUCAAUUUCAAUUUAUUAUUAUUUUUUCCGAAUUAUGUCGGGGUCGAUGUUAUGUGUCUGGUGUCCGUGCUUCAUAGGUCAUUAGCAUUUCAAUCACUGGCUUUUGGGUCUGACCCAACUAGCUAAUAAUUAGUUAUGAUGUUUGUAAGAGACAUGAUGAGUUAAAGGAAUGUUAAAAACCAGAACUUUAUGUAUUUUAACAUAUGCAAAAGCUAAAUUUUGACUGUAACUGAACUACUUACCAAAUGCUUUCAGGAGCACUCUUCACAGUACGACGCAUGGUAAAGCGAGCUUGGCCAAAGUUUCCAGCUUUCCUGAUGAAUUCAUUUCCCUGCCUCAAACCAGUCUUACCAGUGAAAGCUGAUUGUUGGAUAGCAGAGGUGGCCAUGAGGGCGUUGAGACUCCUUGCACUUUGAUGUUGUUCUCUUCGAUGCUACUAGCAAAUGUUGUUGUGAAGAGUGAAGAUAUGCUACAAAGGUUUAUAGAAGUGCAGGGAGUGGCCAGUGUGGAAAUAUUAGAUAUUGUGGAUUAGGAUAUGCACAAGUCAGCAACAUCUUAUUGGUUGUGAAUUUCUACAUGGAUUUCCAAGGUGAUAUAUUGUAUUCAUAUUGUGGCUCUCUUUGUGCCAUGUGGAUGCAGUCAUCUGGUGGCUUAGAUGUUUUUGAAGAGGAUGAAUGUGAGCCAAGGAAAUUAGGUCCACCAAAUUUGAUAGAGAAAAAUGAAAUUUGGAAGAAGUUUGUAUUAAGGGUGACAAUUAAAUCCACGAAGCUAAAGUUCAUAUGAGUCAUCUAUUAAAUUAUCUAUCAAAUCUAUUUAUUGUUCAAAAUAGUUAAUAGAUUAGGGGUCCGUUUGUUUUGGCUUUUUUUAAAAAUGAUUUUUGUAGUGUUAUAUAUUUUAGUGUAAAAAAAUUUAUCAAGAAAAUUUUCAUAAAAGCUUCAAAUGAAAAUUUUGUUUGAAUAGUUAUUCUUAAAAUGUUAUUUUAGGUAUUUUAUCAUUUUAUCGAAACUUUUUUUAGAUAUCAAAAUUUCAAAAAAUCACUUAAUUUUGAAACUAUUUCAAAUAGCUUUUUCUAAAAAUCAUUUUUGAGAUACAAUUUUUUUUAAAAUUAUAAUUUUGAAUAUGUUUUGAUCUUCAAUAAUGUAUAUUUAUGUUAUACAAUGAACAAUUCAACAUUUUAAUAUAUAAAAAAUAAAUUUAGAAAUACUUGCAAUAUUUUGAAAAAUAUUUUUGUAAAAUCCAUUUUAAAAAAUACAAAGAAAAAAUCCAUUUUUUUAAAGCACAGACCCUAGAUUUAAUACAUCCAUUUAAAAAGUUACGCUCAAUCUAUUCAACAAAUUUAAUACCAAGUUUUUAUAAUCAAUAAUAAGAAAAGAGCAUGUAAAAGUAAAAUUUUCAUUAAAAUUCGAAGAAGGAUUAUUUCCCUGAACUUUUAUGAAGAGGUAUUUUCCCCCUCAAAAUCUCCAAAAACUUUUAAGUUCGAACGUACAAGUAUAUUUCUUUCAUAGGUGUUACAAUUUUCUUCUUUUUAGUUGAUUUACAAAGAAAGAGGUGAAAAACAUUUCUUUUUAUGUUAGUCCCAUCAUACCCUUUUUUUCAAAAUUUUAAUAUUAUGCCAUUUCAUAUUAUUGAUGUUUUGUUGAGGGAUGUUUUAAAAUUCGGACAUGUGAUCUGUCAACGAGUUAUUGUUCGGGAUCGCAUGAGUUUUAAUUCAAUUUAUACAAAUUAAUAAAAAUAAUUUUAUGAAAUAAAUUUUUUAAAAUAAAUUUCAUAAUUAUAAAAUCUACAAAAGAAAAUUCUAAAUUUGCUCACCCAAUUAAUUGAAUAAUAAUCUCAAAUAAAAUUCCAACUUCUAAACCUAACAAGUUAUUGAUGGUUAUAAUUAUAAAUUUAUAAAAAUUAAAAAAGUAAUUAUAUGAUAUAAUAAUAUCAUAAAAUAAUAUAGAACAUAAAUAAAUAUCAUGUUCUAUAUAAAUAAUUAAAAAUAAAAUAUAUAAAUAUAAAAGUUAAUAAAAAUAAUAUGACUUUUUUUAAACAAAGAGGACUAAAGUCCAACAACAAACAUAACUACGCCACAACUAAAGGGGGAACCGAAGUUCCCAAUGUCUAUCUCUAGAAGUAUCAACUUACAUAUUCUCUUCCAUUGUCUAUCUGUUGUUACAUUAUGAGUAUUGUCUAAAGUAUUGUACAUGUUUGAAACUCCGACUUCUUUAUUCCCAUCAGCAAAGAUAACUUUAACAUAUGUGUCAUCAUUCUCAUUCGGAGGUAAAAUACAAGUUAUUUGAUACAUCACUUCCACCGGAAGCCAAUGAGCUAAAAUGGUGAAGCUCAAAUCACCCUCAGAGUUCAACAAAUCUGCAACUUCAGCCUGCUGCAAGACCUCCAGAAGUUGAAUAUUUAAAUCAUGCAUCUUGAACCAUGGUGUAAUUUAGUUGCUGGUCUACGCGUUCAUUGUCUUACCAUCAUCAAUUAUCCACAAACAUUACUCAAUAAUCUUCGAUAUAACUUUGAUGAUGCAUUACCAAAAGCUUGAGUUGGACGGUUUCAUUCUUCUCUAUCCACCGCACGAGAAUGAGAUGAGAUAGAUUAUCUACGCAAAGCACGAAAAUGUAAGGAGAAAAUGGAUCUCCCUGACGAAAGAAAUUUGAUGUUAUCUAACUUCAUUCCACCUAAUAUUUAUUUUCUCACUUGUAACCACAUGCAUAAUAAAAUUAGAAAAUAAUAUGAAUUUUGCUUAAAACUAAUAAUAACACUUAUACUAAAAAUAUUGUGAAAAUUUAAUUCACUAUUCCUUUGGUAAUAUGAUUUUUUCUAAAUAAUGAGAUUUAUACUUAAAAUAAUAUAAAAAUAUAAUUUUAUUUUUCUUUAGUAAUAUGAUAUUUUUUCAAAUCUUUUAUUAAUUUAUAAAAUUAUUAUACUAUAGAAUAAAUUUUCUAACUUUUAUAAUUUAUAAUAUUAUUAUAUUCCAUGAUUAAUAAUACAUAACUUUUAUAAUAUUAUAGAAUAUAUAAGUCUCUUUUCGUUUUCGUUAACCAAAUUAAACAUCAAAAGAGAUUCCCGAUGUAGUUUGUAAUUUUAAUAUUAUUUAAUUAUUAUAAAUAAUUAACAUAAGAAGAAUAAUUUUUCGGAUCAAGAAAUCCACUAAUUCAUUGGUCUAACCGAUGAACCACAUGAAUCUCACCAUUUUCUGUCGGGUCAAUUGCAACUAUUGUCAUAUCAUUUUACCAAAUAGUUUUACUCUCUGGUUCACAGUUUAACCAGGUUGAUCGACUGAUCCAAUCCGAAUUUUAAAAACAUUGUUGGUGAGUCAGUUUCUUCGGGAAAAAAUGAUCAUGACAAGCUUUUUAAAAAUGGUGGAUCAUAGUGGUGCAUUUGUUAGAAUUUACUAUAAAAAUUUAUCAUGUCAAACUUAUUUUAGGUGAUGUAAACGAGAAGCUACCAUAAAAAAUUGUUAAGGGAUCCGAGGAUCAUCACACCGGGCUUUAGGAGCAAGUGAGAGGGACACCACAUAUUAGCCCAAAAUCUUAAGACAUUAGGUAUGUGGGUCUUCUCACUUAUAAAGUGUUCAACAUUCACUUUUCAUCUUAUGUGAGACUCAUACUCACACUUGAUAUACCAACAAUCUUCCCCUCAAAUGUGAGUUCUUCCAUUCUUAUGGUCAUUGCUCCCUCUCAAAUAAAAUAAUUUUUCAUUCAUGUCUGCUGGCACUAUCAUUGGAUGGACCCAACGAAACACGUCGCCUGGACACCCUUGUAAGGAAGAUUUUUUAAACAAGGAGCCCUAGUUGAACUAGGCUAUGAUACAUUGUUGGCUAAUGAGGGGGUCCAACGGAACACACCGUCUGGACACCCUUGUUAGGAAUACUUUUGAUACAAGGGAUUAUGUUGAAUGUAAUUCAACAUUCAAGUUAGUUUAGUUUUGAAUUUUAUUUGCAUUUAAGUUUCAUAUGAAUUUGAGUAAUUAUAUAAACCAAAAUGUAAUUGCAUUUGUAAUAGAUUUUUAGUUUUGUAAUUAUUGGAAUCAGAAAGUUCGUUACACAAUUCUCUCUCUUUUCUCAAUUCUCUACGAAUGUUAUUCAUCAUCUUCAUCUUCUUGUGCAAUGUUAGUGGAAGUUCAUUAUUGAACUCCAACAAUAAUGACAUUUAGAUGAAAAAGACUAACUUAAUAUAUUUUUAAAAAUUAAGAAACUCAAAUGAUUUUUUUAAAGUUAAGAAACUAAAAUGAACUCUGAAUAUAAGAUAUAGUAUGAAAAAGGAUAUUAAGUGAUAGUUUUUCUAAAAGGAGAAAUAAACUACAAGAAACACAACUAAUAAGCAUAAAUGUUUAUAAUUUUCAAAUAAGUUUAAUCGCAUAGCUAUUCAAAUUAGUCACACAUUAAAAAUAUCCACCAUCGGUAGUAACUUAUACAAUAUUGAUUUUUUAUGUCAAAAUUGCAACCUUCUUAUAAUAAUUCUAAUUAUUUAAUUUAGAGUAAUGUUACAGUCAAUUCUUACACUAAUAUUUACCUCCAAUAUUGUUUACCGUAUGUAUAUGGUGAAGUAUAUUUUUUAUUUAAUAAAGAAGAUAAAAAAAAUUAUUUAAAAAAUAUGUGGUUAAUAACAUAUAUAAUUAAUGCAAUAAUAAAAUUGAUUAAUAUCAAAAUCUUAUAUUUGUGUUUUAAAAUUAAUCUUAAAAAAAUAUUUUUUAUAAAUAGUUUUUUAUUUUAAAAAAUAUAAUAAAUAUUUUUUAUUUUAAAAAAAAAUAUUAUUCACUGUAUAAACACGAUAAACAAUAUUGGACAUAAGUAUUUGUGUAGAAAAUGGGAGUAAGAAUAGUAGUAUUUCUUUUUAAUUUAUGUAUAAGUAUGUUUUUUUUGGAAUAAAAGAAUUUUAUUAAAUCCAAAAAAUCUUACAGCAAAAAGGCGAUCCAAUGAUCCAGCCUAGGAAUUCAAAAAAAAAAACACAACACCUACUACAUAAGGAAGCAUGAAAUGGCUAAUAUUGCUUCUAAGGUUAGGCAUAGUCCAACACCUAAGAUCAAUAAUAUCAAUGAUCUUAGGACCUCUAAUAGCUGUAACACCCCAUUUUUUAUUAGAUAUUUUAUUAUAUUUUAAUUGUUUAAAUUAUAUAUUUUGAUGAUUUAUUUUAUGGUCGGGUGUUGGCGGAUUAUAUAUCCUUGAAUUAGGGGUAUAGAGAGAUAAUAGAAGUGAGUAGAAUAAUUUAGAAUUAUUUUGGUAAUUAAAAAAAAUAUUUUAUUUAUUUUUAUAUAUUGAUUAGUGAAAAUAGAAUAAUUAGGCCAAAUAUGAAAAAUUGAGAAAGUUAGUGGAAAGAGGGAAUAAGAGAUCAUUAAAUUUAGGUCAAGUUGGUGAUUUGGAAAAAUUUACCCUAAAAAUAAAAAGUUAAGAGGAACCUAGGUUUAGUGAGAUUUUCACAUUACGUGACAUUUGAGAAAGAAGAGCAAAGAGGCAAAAGGCAAUAUGAUCAAGAGAAGAGAGUGAAAGUUCCAAUUCAGAAUUUUUGUAAGGAAUUCAGGUAAGGGUGAAAAAUUGUUUCAAUAAUAAGGGUGUAUGCAUGAAGGGUAGGGUGGAAGAGUCCUUAACCUCCAAUAGGAUGUUUGAGAUUUUACUAAAUUCUGAAUUUUUAUGAUAUCUUGAUGUUAUAUGUUGUGAUUAUUGGUGAUUAUUGGUGAUUUUCGUGCGUGGCUGUAUUUUCUGUUUUGAGUGUUGGGAUAAUUUCACAAUUGUUGAGAGUUUCGAAGGUUUAUGAAAAUAAUAAAGUUAUAAAUUAUAUGAUUUAAUUGAUGCCAAUAUGUGAUAAAUCUUAAAUUUGAUGUAUUAGUCAUUGGAUAAGUGUUGGGUUUCAAAUUCUAAGAUCAAGACUUUUUACGAAAUCGAAAUCGGAGGUCUGGAAGACCUCAAACGGAGAAAAAUAAGUUUCUAGGUUGUUCUUCGAACCUGUAACCGAUUACCGGUCUGAGUGUAACCGAUAACCACUUGAAAAAUAGGUUUUUGGGCUGUUUUCGAAGCCCAUAACCGGUUACGGGUUUGAGCGUAACCGGUUACUACUGUUACGUGCAAAAUUUAGAAAAUUGAAAAUGACGUAACUUGAGCUCCGUAGCUCCCUUUGACGCGCGGUUCGAAGUGUUAGAAAGCUAACAUAUAGUACUUUCUCAUGGUGAUGCUUUAAGAGGCUGAAUAUUAUGUAUUUAACAUUGAUUUAAUUGAUAAUUCAUUAUUAUUGUAGAUGUCUUGGUUGUUAUAUGGAAGUUGUUUAUGUGAAAGUUACAAUUGUCGAUUUUCUGUGUUUUGUUGGUUGUUGGCUACUAUUAGUUGUUGUAUGAUGUUGUUUUGAUGUCAGUUGCUGAUUUAUCAUGAUUUGAAUCGGUAUGAUGUAGUUAUUGGUGAAUGAUGAAUAUAUGUUAAUGAUAAAUGAUUGAUUAAACAUGAAUAAUUGUUGUGUGACAAUAAUGUUGUUAUGUCGGUGUUUCUAUAAUGAUGUUAUUAAGAUGACUGUGUUGAUGUUGUUGUGUUGGUGUUUUUAUGAUGACAAUAUGAACAUGAUGAAAUUAUGUUAAUGAUGUGGUGUUGAUGUUGGCAUACAUAGUCAAGAGUGGACCGAUGUGUAUAUAUUGAUGAUAUUGUUAUUGUUGCAUGUUAGGAGUCAUGCAUCCAUGUUGUCGGAGCUUCAGUUUUAUUUAUUUGGUGAGCCUCGAUCCUAUGAUGAUGGAUAUGGUUCGAGUAGCUAAUUCCUAUUAUGGGGGAUUAGUGAAGCGCUAUCUAUGGUGAUGGUAGUGAUUUUGGUGUGCUCCGGUUCCAAGAGGGAAUCGAUCCUAUGGUGGGGAUCAUAGAGCGAAAUGAACCUGAGUGUUCAUAUUUGGUACCACAUGCAUGUCGAGUCGGCGUUGAGUCCAUUUCAUAAGUGUUGCAUUUAUAUUGGUUGUGUAUAGUGUUGAUGAUAAUUGAUAAGUUGUUGUGUAUGAUGUUAAUGAUGAUUUGGGUGUGAGAAUUACAAUAUGUUGUUGUGAACGAUUAUGUUGACUGUAAUCUAUCUUUCAUGUUAUGUCUUUUAUAAUUGAUUAUAAUUUCUCAUCCCUUCUGUUUGAAUGUUGCCUUUACACGGACAUCGUGCAGAUACUCAGGAGUACCUUUGACUGAAGUAAGUGGAAGGAUAGUUCUUGAAGUGACUUCCAUUAGUUGUCAUUUAUUUAGUAGGAUAACUCUGAUCAUGUAACAUCGGGAUGGGAAUCGUUCGUGUUAAUUUCACUUGUUAUUGUUUGUUGGAGUUUUGAUUUUAUGUUGUUGAACGCUGAACAAUAUAACUCUCUUGUUCGUGUAAACAUCUCAGAUAAAUAUCAGAUGAGUUUGGAUGUCGUGUAAAUAUCCUAGGUGAAAUAAAGUUACAUGAUUAGUAGGUGUUGUUUGUUGUGUAUGUGUGAUAUCUUAUGUGCUAAGUUGAAAAAUAUCUGAUUUAUUUAUGAAUUAUGUAUUGGGGUAAUUAGGGUGUUACAUUAGCACCAUCAAUUUUGUUACCAAAACAAUGUUAAUUUCUAGCAUGUGACAUGUGUGUGAUUAUGUUUGUGGGAUCAGAGCAGGUCGGUUCGUCCGACCAGGUUGUCUAAUUAUGUUUGUUCCCUAGUAUGUGACAUGUGUGUGAGAACACUGCCGAUGCUUGUUUUGUUUUCCAUUUGUAGGUUGGGAAUGAAACAAGUGAGGGAGAAGAGUAUGCUUCUCUUGGAUGUUUUAACUGUAUAAAGCUUGGACAUCAUGUUGGUGCAUGCAAGAGUGCAUUGUUGGCUAGUUCAACUGUUUUGAGGAUGUUGUGCUUUUUCGUAACCUGGAGUGAGGUCGGAUUCGAGGAUGGUGACGGUUAGAAAAAUGGUGUGAUACUUGAGGGAACACAGUCAGGUGUUCUCGUUGGUCGCUUCCUUAUGAUGGGGAAUGCGAUGUUUUGGCCAGAGAUGAGCCAGUGGUGUGUUGAGUAUCCCGACGUGUUCCAUGAGGAUGUGUAUGUUUUGUAUUUUGUUGGAACAAGUUGACAUUAUUCUUUGAAUGAAUUGGUUGGAGUUAAACUAAAUGUUUACCAAUUGUUUUGAUAAGUUGGUGCAAUAUGCCACUGAAUGCAAGAGCUCAGGCGGUGUUGAAGUUGUGUUGUUCCUAACACUGAAGAUGUUGUAGAUUCGAGAUUCCUAUCUGCCGGUCAAUUUGGGAAGUCUUUAGGGAGAAUGAUUAGGUAUUAUUAAUGAUGCUUCUUGAAGAGUAGAGAGAAAUGUGACGACAAGUGUUAUGUUAGUGGUGUGUGAUUCCUGAUGUUUUCCUAAAGAUAUCUACGACUUGCCUACAGAGCAUGAAUCUGAGUUCGAUGGAGGUGAAAAGUUGACAUAUGUAUCAGUUAAGCAAGUGAGAGAGUACGUGAAGGAUAUGGCAUACGUGUUUGUGAUGUUAGCUUCAUUGGAAGCUAGAGGAAAGGUAAUAGUUCGUGAUCUUCCUGGAGUGUUUCCUGAAGACAUCAAUGAUUUGCCUCUGGAGCAUGAAGUAGAGUUUACCUUCGACUUAGUACUAGGUACGAGUUUGGUGUCAAUGGAUCCUUAUAGAAUGUCAGCUUCAGAGUUGG